This 575-nucleotide small RNA is filed under the name Pongo abelii (Sumatran orangutan). Its description in RNAcentral is "processed transcript". The record is from RNAcentral. Lineage: Eukaryota; Metazoa; Chordata; Mammalia; Primates; Hominidae.
AGUUUGUGACAGGCACGAUGAUUGCGGAGCUGAAGUUCAGGCAGCGGGAGCGAGGAGGGUGUGUGGCUUUUGAUACAGUAGAGUUCUUUGGCCUACUCACCAAUUGACAGUCCCAAAGGGGCUGGAGAUGCCACCCCGGCAAAGUUCGCCCUAGUCAUUUGCUUCACCUCUCCAGAACACAUGCAUCAAACCCGGGAUCCCCUGUGCCCUGGUGGGAUGGCAGGAGUCUCUAGCUGUUUGGAUCAUCUUCCCAAACCUUAACUUCACCUUUACAUGAUGAGGAUCUACAGAGCAGCAUCUCAGCCCUUUCCUGCAAACACACAGUGCUUCUGAAUGCAGAAUUCUAGGCUACGGAAGGGAGGGGACACAGGUAGAUGCCAUCUGUGGUCAGGGGGAGGUGUGGUCCCGAGACCAUCUCAGCUGAAAUGUAGGAGUAAUGGGCACAGACCAUUCAAGAGAAAUGUGUGUUGGGCUGAAGAAAGUAGAAACUACCUUCAGAGUAUCUCCUCCGUCUCUAAGACAUGCACGGUUUAAUUCUGUUAUUUUGUGAGGCUCUUUGCACCAUGACACAAGCA